Myotis daubentonii (Daubenton's bat) is the source of this 3196-nucleotide long non-coding RNA. RefSeq lists it as uncharacterized. NCBI's taxonomy places the organism in Eukaryota, Metazoa, Chordata, Mammalia, Chiroptera, Vespertilionidae. The transcript has 3 exons. The record is from RefSeq and is a predicted model, not a curated record.
GUGCCCUAGCUCCUCCCACAAGCGAUGGCCCCAUCCCACAUGACCUGGCCCCGCCCACUGCCCUAGCUCCUCCCACACGCCCCGGCCCCUCCCAGGGACUCUUGCCUUCUGUCCAGGUUGAGGUCUCUCAUGAGCUUUGCCCCCUGCGACAUGGAGGAUUUCUGGACAUGGCGUCUUCUGGGAGAAAUCAGCUCCCCCAGCCACCCGGCCAAUAGGCGGUAAGAGGCCGUCGUUACCCUGAGCGCACACGUUCCUCCAGUGACUUCCCUUCCAAACAGCCCUCCCUUUACCGUCCGAUGACGUUCCUCUCCUGCGUUUGUUGGACUUGGCGGCGGCUUAUUGCUCAGGCGGCUUGUCUCAAAUUGCAAUUCCUUGCUGUCUCUGAUUAAACCCAUCGUUUCUGGUAAAAUAACGGAGUUUCACUUUUUAUUAUUUUAGUAUUUUUUUAAGAUUUUUUAAAAUGGAUUUUUAGAGAUAGAGGAAGGAAGAGAGAGAACCAUCAAUGGAAGAGUGAAACAUCUAUCCGCUGCCUCCUGCACACCCACCCCCUACCCAGGAUGGAACCUGCACCCCAGGCAUGUGCCCUGACCGCGAAUGGACCCGCAACCUUUUGGUGCAUGGAUGACGCCCAACCAACCGAGCCACACUGGCCAGGGCCGGACUGUUGUAUUUUUCAGGUUGACACCUGGAGCCUGGUUCCCAGCUGUGAGGUGAGCGCCCGAGCCUGUCCCUCGGCUCUGGGGGUCACGCGUGUUCCGGAAGGAGCGCCUGGAUUGUAGGGAGAAACCUGUAGCUGGGAGCGGCCUCCAGAGCGACCCCAUCGCCUGACACUCGGCCUCGGAUGGACCAGGUGACCAGGCGCGUGACUCCUGGGCUUGGUCUCAAAGCACCGCAGCCACUGCCUCGCCUGGGAGGGCUGGCCCUGGGCAGCCAUGCACAUCAUGCGGACGCUGGAGAGGCCACAGGAGGGGCUGGGACAGCUGAGCCAUGGCGGGAGCCCAGCCCUCUGCAGGCUGUGUGCACACAGGGGUGCCACCCCCACCCCAGCUCCCAGGCAGGGGGAGCCAAGGAAACCAUCCUCCGCUGGUCCUGCGGGGGACCCCUGGGAACCCGGAAGUCUGGGGAAGGAAUUGGGGCCACCUCGCCCCUGGUGUAUUUGAGCAGCUGUGGGCACCAUCAUAUCUACCCCUAAAGGCAGCAAAGGGACGAAAUUCUGGACCCGGAGGCUGAGGUUGGGGGCACGUUCGGACAGAGCAGUUCCAGCCCCCCUGUCGGUGGUGGGAGCCUGAGCUGGCCCCUCCCUUCUGUUCCACACCCGCUUGUCCCCGCUCUGUCCCCAGAGCCCUCUCUGAACUUGCGCCCUCGCUGUCAGAGGGUGUGGGGCUGAGCGCAGGGCUGUGGGCAGCGGAGGUCGAGCAGCGGGAGGCCUGGACAGGACCCUGGGGAGGGGGGUGCCGGCCCCAGGAGGCCCCUCCUGCCACACACCUCUGGCCACGAUGCUCAAUAGCCACCUGGAGAAACGACCCCUGACCCACCCGCACAAUCAUUUCCUUUUUUUUUUUUUUUAAUAGUUAUUGAUUUCAGAGAGAGAGAGAGAGAGAGAGGGAGAGAGAGAGAAAUAUCAAUGAUGGGAGAGAAUCAUUGAUCAGCUGCCUCCUGCACGACUCCCACCAGGGAUCAAACUCACAACUUGGGCAUGUGCCCUGACUGGGAAUCAAACCCUGACCUCCCAGUUCGUAGGUCGACACUCAACCGCUGAGCCAUACUGGCCAGCAUCAUCUCUUGAUCAAGUGGUCAAAACGCAAAUGCUGCAGGAUUUAUGUUCCGUUCCUGGUGGGUGCGGGCGCCUCAGGCAGCUGGGCUCAUGGGCAGAGCCCAGGGACUUUGCACACCAAGGAAGGGCCCAGGCAGAGCAGAGGAGACGGGGACGGGUGCUGGGCUGCCUGGGGCCCUUGGCCCUGCCCCUCCGAGCUGCUCCCUGCCCUAGACCACACUCUGGGUCUCCAGGAGACCCCACUGGGCCCUCAGCCUUCCCCGUGAGUGUCCACAAGGGGGCGAUGUGACUGGUGUUUUAAGGGGCCACCAGGUUUGGGGGCCAGAGCCUCAGGCAGGACCCAGAGUAUGUGCCAGCCCCACCUUCCGCCCAGCCUGAGCAUGCACAGCUGGGGCCCGGGCUCUUGUCACUGAACGCUGUGUUGGUGUAAGAAUGUCCAAACCUGUACAGAAUUGUUCCCUUUAAUUUCUUUUAUUUAUUGAUUUUUAGAGAGAGAGAGGAAGAGAGAGGAAAAACACAUCAAUUUGUUGUUCCACUUAUUUUUGCAUUCACUGGUUGCUCCUUGUAUGUGCCCUGACCAGGGAUCAAACCCAUAGCCUUGCCCUAACCGGACAAUGCUCCAACCAACUGAGCUACCCAGCCAGGGCGAGAAUUUUUAUAAAAAUUUAUUUGAGCUACUCUCUCUCUCUCCCCCCGCACCCCCCCCCCCAUCACUCCGGCACCCUUUCCUCUCUCCUUUUCCCAGGCAUGUUCUCUCUGACUCUUUUUCCUAAGCUCCAAGGGCCCUUCUUUUGCCUCUGUAACUCGUUUCCUGGGCCCACCCAGCCCAGCUGGCUCACCUUUCGGCCCUCAGUGACUUUCUAAAUAAACUUUCUCUUAUCAUUUGGAAGAAAGAAUUUUAUUGAGCUAAAAAGAGGACACACCUGAAAGCAAGAUGUCAACAGUGAGGUAAGUGCCGCAGAGUGACAGGGUGCGGCUUCUUUUGUGCGGGGGGGGGGGGGGGGGGCGGGGGGGGCCAGGAGGGAACGCGAGGAGGUUACCAGGGACGGGGUGCAGGACAGGCCGCAGGUGUGUGCUCUCCUGAGGCAGUGCCACUUAUUCCAAAGGUGCCUCAGCCCAGCCCUGGCGGGUGUGGCUCCGGUGGUGGGAGCUUUGUCCCUUGCACGGAAGCGUGACUGGCUUGAUUCCAAGUCAGGGCACAUACCCCAGUUGUGGGUUUCAUCUGAUCAGUGUUUCUCUCUGUCCCUCUCCCUUCCCCUCUCUCUCAAAUCAAUAAAAACAUUUAAAGAAUAUUUCCUGAUAGACUGCGUGGCUGACAAAAUAAGGACCCCACAAAGGUGUCCCUGUCCCAACCCCCAGAACCUGUGGCCAUGUCACCUUCCCUGGCGAGGGAGAAGCGAGGGUGCGUGUGGACUGAAGCAG